RNAcentral lists this ribosomal RNA (490 nucleotides) under Escherichia coli. Its description in RNAcentral is "bacterial LSU rRNA". It matches the Rfam family "Bacterial large subunit ribosomal RNA", at positions 1 to 521 of the family's 2925-position model. The record is from RNAcentral. Lineage: Bacteria; Pseudomonadati; Pseudomonadota; Gammaproteobacteria; Enterobacterales; Enterobacteriaceae.
GGGUUGUGAGGUUAAGCGACUAAGCGUACACGGUGGAUGCCCUGGCAGUCAGAGGCGAUGAAGGACGUGCUAAUCUGCGAUAAGCGUCGGUAAGGUGAUAUGAACCGUUAUAACCGGCGAUUUCCGAAUGGGGAAACCCAGUGUGAUUCGUCACACUAUCAUUAACUGAAUCCAUAGGUUAAUGAGGCGAACCGGGGGAACUGAAACAUCUAAGUACCCCGAGGAAAAGAAAUCAACCGAGAUUCCCCCAGUAGCGGCGAGCGAACGGGGAGCAGCCCAGAGCCUGAAUCAGUGUGUGUGUUAGUGGAAGCGUCUGGAAAGGCGCGCGAUACAGGGUGACGGCCCCGUACACAAAAAUGCACAUAUUGUGAGCUCGAUGAGUAGGGCGGGACACGUGGUAUCCUGUCUGAAUAUGGGGGGACCAUCCUCCAAGGCUAAAUACUCCUGACUGACCGAUAGUGAACCAGUACCGUGAGGGAAAGGCGAAAAG